AACGAACGCUGGCGGCAGGCCUAACACAUGCAAGUUGAAGGAGAAGCUUACUUCGGUAAGUGGAGACUAGCGCACGGGUGAGUAACACGUGGGAACCUACCCAAAAGUUUGGGAUAACCAUUGGAAACGAUGGCUAAUACCGAAUAGACCCUCCGGGGUAAAGAUUUAUCGCUUUUGGAUGGGCCCGCGUCAGAUUAGCUAGAUGGUAAGGUAAUGGCUUACCAUGGCAACGAUCUGUAGCUGGUUUGAGAGGAUGAUCAGCCACACUGGGACUGAGACACGGCCCAG
Molecule: ribosomal RNA, 288 nt
Filed under: uncultured bacterium
Lineage: Bacteria
Description: partial 16S ribosomal RNA
Rfam family: Bacterial small subunit ribosomal RNA
Source: RNAcentral